UCGGGGGGUAGCUUGCUACCUCGCCGGCGGGUGGCGGACGGGUGAGUAAUGCCUGGGGAGCUGCCCAAUCGAGGGGGAUACCAGUUGGAAACGACUGCUAAUACCGCAUACGCCCUGAGGGGGAAAGGUGGGGAUCUUCGGACCUACCGCGAUUGGAUGCGCCCAGGUGGGAUUAGCUAGUUGGUGAGGUAACGGCUCACCAAGGCGACGAUCUCUAGCUGGUCUGAGAGGAUGACCAGCCACACUGGAACUGAGACACGGUCCAGACUCCUACGGGAGGCAGCAGUGGGGAAUAUUGCACAAUGGGGGAAACCCUGAUGCAGCCAUGCCGCGUGUGUGAAGAAGGCCUUCGGGUUGUAAAGCACUUUCAGUCAGGAGGAAAGGUGGCUAGCUAAUACCUAGUUGCUGUGACGUUACUGACAGAAGAAGCACCGGCUAACUCCGUGCCAGCAGCCGCGGUAAUACGGAGGGUGCAAGCGUUAAUCGGAAUUACUGGGCGUAAAGCGCACGCAGGCGG
RNAcentral lists this ribosomal RNA (517 nucleotides) under uncultured bacterium. Its description in RNAcentral is "bacterial SSU rRNA". It matches the Rfam family "Bacterial small subunit ribosomal RNA", at positions 68 to 578 of the family's 1533-position model. The record is from RNAcentral.